Molecule: ribosomal RNA, 333 nt
Filed under: Triticum aestivum (bread wheat)
Lineage: Eukaryota; Viridiplantae; Streptophyta; Magnoliopsida; Poales; Poaceae
Description: partial small subunit ribosomal RNA
Source: RNAcentral
AUGCCAUGGGUAGAAAGGUGUGCAUCUCUAAUCCUCGCGCUUGUAAUGCUCCCUGCCCUAGACACGAAGGCCGCGGUGGGCUACAGCAAUGGCGAGGCGGUGAUGCCAGCGCCUUCCUCAUCCAUGAGGCUGGAGGAUGGUGUGGCGCCGGAGCUUGGGGUGAUAUCGGUGGUGGACCUGGACGUCAACGGCCUCCUCGGCGGCAAGAACAUCAGCCCGAAGGCCGUAAACCCCACCAAGCCAGUUUGCCUUGUUGCUCCGUGCGUCGCCGGAGGGCCGUCCAGCGGCGGCGGCCGGGGCUGCAACCCGCAUUACCAUUGCGCGGUUCACUGA